GGUAUUUUGACCGUGCAAAGGUAGCAUAAUCAUUAGUUUUUUAAUUGAAAGCUGGAAUGAAAGGUUGGAUGAGAAAAAAGCUGUCUCUAUUUAAUUUAUUUAGAAUUUUAUUUUUAAGUUAAAAAGCUUAAAUUUAGAUAAAAGACGAGAAGACCCUAUAGAGUUUUAUUAGUUUUUUUUAUAGAGUUAAUGGUAUUUUUUGUCUUUAUAGGAAAAAUUAAUUUAGUUGGGGUGAUUGAAAAAUUGAAUUAACUUUUUUUUUAUAUUUACAUUAAUAAAUGGUUAUUUGAUCCUUAAUUUAAGAUUAAAAGAUAAAAUUACCUUAGGGAUAACAGCGUAAUUUUUUUUGAGAGUUCAAAUCGAAAGAAAAGAUUGCGACCUCGAUGUUGGAUUAAAAUAAAAUUUUGGUGUAGAAGCUAAAA
RNAcentral lists this ribosomal RNA (422 nucleotides) under Laparocerus mendax. Its description in RNAcentral is "partial 16S ribosomal RNA". Lineage: Eukaryota; Metazoa; Arthropoda; Insecta; Coleoptera; Curculionidae. The record is from RNAcentral.